Molecule: ribosomal RNA, 253 nt
Filed under: uncultured bacterium
Lineage: Bacteria
Description: partial 16S ribosomal RNA
Rfam family: Bacterial small subunit ribosomal RNA
Source: RNAcentral
UACGUAGGCAGCAAGCGUUGUUCGGAAUUACUGGGCGUAAAGAGUGUGUAGGCGGUGCUCUAAGUUCGGUGUGAAAUCUCCCGGCUUAACUGGGAGGGUGCGCCGGAAACUGGAGUGCUCGAGCGUGGGAGAGGAAAGCGGAAUUCCUGGUGUAGCGGUGAAAUGCGUAGAUAUCAGGAGGAACACCUGUGGUGUAGACAGCUUUCUGGACCAUAGCUGACGCUGAGACACGAAAGCGUGGGUAGCAAACAGG